This 565-nucleotide ribosomal RNA is filed under the name soil bacterium CAFB-JP4-5. RNAcentral's name for it is "bacterial SSU rRNA". It matches the Rfam family "Bacterial small subunit ribosomal RNA", at positions 529 to 1095 of the family's 1533-position model. The record is from RNAcentral.
AGGGCGCAAGCGUUGUCCGGAAUUAUUGGGCGUAAAGAGCUCGUAGGCGGCUUGUCGCGUCGAUUGUGAAAGCCCGGGGCUUAACUCCGGGUCUGCAGUCGAUACGGGCAGGCUAGAGUGUGGUAGGGGAGAUCGGAAUUCCUGGUGUAGCGGUGAAAUGCGCAGAUAUCAGGAGGAACACCGGUGGCGAANGCGGAUCUCUGGGCCAUUACUGACGCUGAGGAGCGAAAGCGUGGGGAGCGAACAGGAUUAGAUACCCUGGUAGUCCACGCCGUAAACGGUGGGCACUAGGUGUUGGCGACAUUCCACGUCGUCGGUGCCGCAGCUAACGCAUUAAGUGCCCCGCCUGGGGAGUACGGCCGCAANGCUAAAACUCAAAGGAAUUGACGGGGGCCCGCACAAGCGGCGGAACAUGUNGCUUAAUUCGACGCAACGCGAANAACUUACCAAGGCUUGACAUACACCGGAAACAUCCAGAGAUGGGUGCCCCCUUGUGGUCGGUGUACAGUNGUGCAUGCUGUCGUCAGCUCGUGUUGUUGAGAUUUUGGGUUAAUCCCCGCAACGA